GCUCCAAUGCCUUUGCCGCUUCCAAAGAACCACCACUACUGUUCUGUUGCCUCCAUGCAUAUUGUGCAUAUAUCCGUAUAAUAUAGUUACUUAUAACAUUGAUAACACUGCAACUUAUCUUUAUCUCUAAACUUGGAUCUAGACAUUGCACUAUUAGUGAUCCGGUCAAGAAAAAAGAAGAUUUUCUUCAAUCCAUUCAACUUAAAUUUCACAAAGAAAGU
This 221-nucleotide long non-coding RNA is filed under the name Elaeis guineensis (African oil palm). RNAcentral's name for it is "long non-coding RNA (EGUI_LNC004059)". The record is from RNAcentral. Lineage: Eukaryota; Viridiplantae; Streptophyta; Magnoliopsida; Arecales; Arecaceae.